Long non-coding RNA from Brassica oleracea var. oleracea, 1372 nucleotides. RefSeq lists it as uncharacterized. Lineage: Eukaryota; Viridiplantae; Streptophyta; Magnoliopsida; Brassicales; Brassicaceae. The record is from RefSeq and is a predicted model, not a curated record. The transcript is spliced from 4 exons.
CAUCAUCACUUGUCUCUAUCGUCAUUGUAUAGCAAUUUAUUUUCUUUUUUUAUACAGAAAUUUCUUUACUCCAAAAAAAGUAUAGCACCUUCCCAAAAUUUAUUAUGCCUAUCUUUGUGGUUAAUUGAUGCAAUAAUCCAUGGAGGUGGAGCUGCUAUGGCGUUGUCAACAUUUAGUUCUGUGAUUUGUUUCUCCUACUUGCACAAAUAUUUAAGGUGUUGGAGACAUAUUAUGUUGGAUUUGUUGAUCUUAGCAGUUCUAUUGCUUGUCUUUUGAUAUGUGCAAGAAGUUCUCUUUAAAUUUCUCAGUCUCUCUCUAGUAAUAUUCUUUUUUCACUGUUUUUUUUUUUUUAACUAUUUAUCUUGUUUGCUUGAACUUCGUUGGUUAAUUACUCUACUCUUGUUGUAGUAUUUAUUCUUCCUCUUUCUACUUCUCCUCCGCUUCUGAUUCCUUCAAUCAUAUCAUUCUCCUCCAUUUCACAAUUUCCAACGCUUCUCUCUGCCAGCUUUCCCCAGAAGAACCUAAAAAUAAAUGUUUUAUAAUUGUGGAAGAAAGACAACAAAACCGAAAAGUCUCAGUCAGUGUUUGAUAUUGAUGUCGGGUUGGGCUCAUUAAAAGAAUCGCGAACAUGGCUCUUGGAAUGGAUGGAUUUUGUGGUCUCUUUCCACUAGGUGAUUAUUAUCUCGUAGCUGGUACAGAUGGUGUAGGAUCUAAACUUAAGUUGGCCUUUGAGACUUUAAUCACUCCAUUGGAAUUGACUUGGUUGCUAUGAGUGUGAAUGAUAUUGUUACUUUAUGGUGCAAAGUCACAGUUUUUCCUAGACUUUUCAGCUCAGAAAAUAUUCAUCAAUGGAAUGUGACUUGUACUGUAAGCCUCAUUUUGAACAGCUCUUAAAGGAUUAUGGUAGCUUCAACAAGAACUUUUAGUCUUAUAUGCACAUUUGUUGUUCUUACUGCUUUUCAUAUAAUCUUAAGUUUUGAUGUUUUUCAUGUAGGAUCUUUGAAACAGACAAUGUUUGUAUGUUUUGUCCGAAGUUUCAAGAAUGAUAUGAGGUUGUUGAUGAUUAUGAUAUGAACCACAACACAGAGAAGGUAGAGGAUCUUGGGAACAUGCUGACGAGUUUGGAUCGAGCAGACUCAAUCAUGCAUAAAGUCAUUUCCAACAUGCUUAGCUUGGCUAAUAUAUCAACUAGCAAGUUUUUUCUUGAUUAAUUGUGCAACAUCCGGUUAGGAAUCACGAGUACAUAUACUCUAUCUUUUAUAUUUAUACACUCAAACUUAUAAUCAUUAUAUUGUCUUAAUAUGCAUUCACAUUACAAUACCUAAAGCAUGUUCUAGAUAUUAUUGUCAUAACCCGGAUUAUCUUUGCAUUA